This is a long non-coding RNA of Etheostoma cragini (Arkansas darter), 90 nucleotides long. RefSeq lists it as uncharacterized. Lineage: Eukaryota; Metazoa; Chordata; Actinopteri; Perciformes; Percidae. The record is from RefSeq and is a predicted model, not a curated record. The transcript has 3 exons.
AACAAAUAAUCGAUUAAAGCUAUAGUGCGUAGUUUGUCCCCCCCCAUGAGAAAUUCUAUGUAAUGACAACACCGCUGUUGUUGCUUCCAC